UCCCACGAGGCAUGGACUAUUCUUGAGCGCUCGUUUGCGGCACAGUCGCAGGCUCGUGUAUCUGGGCUCCGUCGCCAACUUGGGGAGUGUCAGAAGCUUGACUCCACCGCCACUGAGUUCUACAACAAAGUCAAGAGUCUCGCCGACACGCUGGCCUCCAUUGGACAGCCCCUCACCGACUCCGAGUUCAACUCGUUUAUUGUCAAUGGUCUUGAUGAGGAGUAUGACGCCCUAGUCGAGAUCAUCAAUGAGAGGGGCAACUCCACGCCCAUGCCAGCACACGAGGUCUUUUCACGCCUCCUGCUUACUGAGCAACGAGUCGAGACGCGCCGAUCCAGGGGCAACGACGCCCUCUCGGCAAACGCCGCCACCAAGGGUGGUCGCUCCUCUGCUUCAUCCAGGGCUCCUUCGGGGCAGUCACCACCACCCGCCUCAGCC
This 438-nucleotide ribosomal RNA is filed under the name Triticum aestivum (bread wheat). RNAcentral describes it as "partial small subunit ribosomal RNA". The record is from RNAcentral. Lineage: Eukaryota; Viridiplantae; Streptophyta; Magnoliopsida; Poales; Poaceae.